RNAcentral lists this ribosomal RNA (44 nucleotides) under Anopheles peditaeniatus. RNAcentral describes it as "partial 28S ribosomal RNA". Lineage: Eukaryota; Metazoa; Arthropoda; Insecta; Diptera; Culicidae. The record is from RNAcentral.
AAGCCUCAGGUUAUGUGUGACGACCCCCUGAAUUUAAGCAUAAA